GUGGAUGGAUAAAUGCUGAGGUCGAGAGGUCCACAUUGUAGGGGGACUGGGAAUGACUUAGCCUAGUGAACGGCAUCUGGACGUUUCCUAAUCUAAGCCUGCCCGAAGCUGCACUGACCUGCGGUGACCUUCCUUGGCUUCUGAGAGCUGAGACAGAAAAUGAAGUGUGGCAGGAAGGAGCUAGGAAUGCUGUUACCCCAACAACCUGCCCCGGUGACCGACACCCAACACUAGAGCUCCGCAAAGUUUGUGCAAGAACAGUGACACCAGCUGGGGACCAAAUGUUGCAAACCAUAGGACAAUGACUCGGAUGAAAAUUACCAUGCGGAUUCACUCUGGAACACAGAUGUCCCUACCUGACAGAAGUCUCUGCCCCCACAACCGACCAAGGAUGAUGCAUGGAACUUCAUGUGGCUCGGCAGGGCCAAAGGCUGACUCUCCUGAGCUUGCUGACCAUCCAACCACAAGGUCAAGGCAUUACUUUCCCUUUGAAUCACUAGCUAUGACCAUGGCAAUCAGACUUCAGAGAUGCUGAAAUUCGUAUUUCAUCUAAAACUAAAAUGAAAUCUGUAUCUCUUUCUGCUUUAUUCUGUUGUGAAUUUUGCCUUUAUUA
Myodes glareolus (Bank vole) is the source of this 613-nucleotide long non-coding RNA. RefSeq lists it as uncharacterized. Lineage: Eukaryota; Metazoa; Chordata; Mammalia; Rodentia; Cricetidae. The record is from RefSeq and is a predicted model, not a curated record.